RNAcentral lists this small RNA (53 nucleotides) under Salmonella enterica subsp. enterica serovar Typhi. Its description in RNAcentral is "StyR-341". Lineage: Bacteria; Pseudomonadati; Pseudomonadota; Gammaproteobacteria; Enterobacterales; Enterobacteriaceae. The record is from RNAcentral.
AAACAGAACCUCUACAGCGUACUUUUUCACAGCAUCUGACCUCUAUUUUCACA